RNAcentral lists this ribosomal RNA (253 nucleotides) under uncultured bacterium. RNAcentral describes it as "partial 16S ribosomal RNA". It matches the Rfam family "Bacterial small subunit ribosomal RNA", at positions 524 to 776 of the family's 1533-position model. The record is from RNAcentral.
UACGUAGGGGGCAAGCGUUGUCCGGAAUCAUUGGGCGUAAAGAGCGUGUAGGCGGCCCGGUAAGUCCGCUGUGAAAGUCAUGGGCUCAACCCAUGAAAGCCGGCCGAUACUGUCGGACUAGAGUCCGGAAGAGGCGAGUGGAAUUCCCGGUGUAGCGGUGAAAUGCGCAGAUAUCGGGAGGAACACCAAUGGCGAAGGCAGCUCGCUGGGACGGUACUGACGCUGAGGCGCGAAAGCGUGGGGAGCAAACAGG